This 444-nucleotide ribosomal RNA is filed under the name uncultured bacterium. Its description in RNAcentral is "bacterial SSU rRNA". It matches the Rfam family "Bacterial small subunit ribosomal RNA", at positions 954 to 1392 of the family's 1533-position model. The record is from RNAcentral.
GCUAAACGCGAAGAACCUUACCAGGCCUUGACAUGGUUAGUAUGAUUUCCAGAAAUGGAUUUCUUCAGUUUGGCUGGCUAACACACAGGUGCUGCAUGGCUGUCGUCAGCUCGUGUCGUGAGAUGUUGGGUUAAGUCCCGCAACGAGCGCAACCCUUGUCCUUAGUUGCCAGCGAGUAAUGUCGGGAACUCUAAGGAGACUGCCGGUGACAAACCGGAGGAAGGUGGGGAUGACGUCAAGUCCUCAUGGCCCUUACGGCCAGGGCUACACACGUACUACAAUGGUCGGUACAGAGGGUUGCCAAACCGCAAGGUGGAGCCAAUCCCAGAAAGCCGAUCCCAGUCCGGAUCGGAGUCUGCAACUCGACUCCGUGAAGUCGGAAUCGCUAGUAAUCGCGGAUCAGCUAUGCCGCGGUGAAUACGUUCCCGGGUCUUGUACACACCG